RNAcentral lists this long non-coding RNA (997 nucleotides) under Capsella rubella. RNAcentral's name for it is "long non-coding RNA (CRUB_LNC001052)". Lineage: Eukaryota; Viridiplantae; Streptophyta; Magnoliopsida; Brassicales; Brassicaceae. The record is from RNAcentral.
UUUUUCUUAACUCACUUUUUCGCUUUAAUUUGUUAUUUAUUAGAUAUUAUUAUUCCUUUUUUUUUUUCUUCCAUAACAUUACAAAGAAUACACACAAUCAGUAGUAGUUUGAUAAGAUUUAACAAACGAAAAAUAUAUUUCUUACUAAUAUAUACAGAUGUGCCAGUGGGAUUAUACCAACGAUAUAAACAAAAUAGAUUUAAGGAUCAAAUAUUAUAAAAUAAAGGUCGGUUAGGUUUGUGUAAAUUAAAAAUAAAAUAAAAACAGAAGUACGUAGUAAUGAAAACUCUAUAUGGUAUAGAUUUGCUUAGGGGAGUGAGAGUAAUUUACAAUUCCCUAUGGUGGUGGUGGUGUGUUGUUGUUACUUAGGGAUAAGAACCAUUUUCUUUUAAAACAUAUCCGAAUCAUCAUCAUGUCCUCGUCACCUCUCUAUCCUUUUUUUUAGUCCUUACCCCUUUUUUUUAUUUUUCAUUUUUUUUUGUUAAUUGGACCGAAGUUUUUUAUGUUCCCAUCACUAAUAAUAACGACUUUUCUCCCUAAGAGAAAUAUAAAGAAAAAGUUUUAAAUCGAAAAAAAAUAACAACGUAUGUAUAUCUCUUUAUGUUAUUUUAUAGUAGUCUUCACAUUUUAUGCGUAGUAAUACCAAUAAUUACUCUAUAUCCUUAAAAACCAAGGAUCUUGUCCUUUCUUUAAACAACCUUUUCCCGAUACAGCUUUGUUCUUGAAAUAGUAUAAAAGAUAUUAUCAUAUUAUCAAAAUUCAAACGACUUAUAUAGCAUGGGAUUGCAUAAUAGUUUCUUUUUGAAAAUAAACAUUUCUUUCGAAGUUCCAAGUUUUCAUGAACAUUAAAUAACCAGAGAAAGGUCAAAAGUGUAUAAAAAAAAAACAAAAACGUGAUUAUAGUGGAUCUUACAUAGUAAAGCGUAGCAUGCGUUUAUCAAAUUUGUGGGCUUGGCCCAUUUAUAAUGGUUAAAACGAUACUAUUAACUUAUCGAAA